This 465-nucleotide ribosomal RNA is filed under the name Vreelandella stevensii. RNAcentral's name for it is "partial 16S ribosomal RNA". It matches the Rfam family "Bacterial small subunit ribosomal RNA", at positions 338 to 795 of the family's 1533-position model. Lineage: Bacteria; Pseudomonadati; Pseudomonadota; Gammaproteobacteria; Oceanospirillales; Halomonadaceae. The record is from RNAcentral.
CCUACGGGUGGCAGCAGUGGGGAAUAUUGGACAAUGGGGGGAACCCUGAUCCAGCCAUGCCGCGUGUGUGAAGGAGGCCCUCGGGUUGUAAAGCACUUUCAGUGAGGAAGAACGCCUGGUGGUUAAUACCCAUCAGGAAAGACAUCACUCACAGAAGAAGCACCGGCUAACUCCGUGCCAGCAGCCGCGGUAAUACGGAGGGUGCGAGCGUUAAUCGGAAUUACUGGGCGUAAAGCGCGCGUAGGUGGCUUGAUAAGCCGGUUGUGAAAGCCCCGGGCUCAACCUGGGAACGGCACCCGGAACUGUCAAGCUAGAGUGCAGGAGAGGAAGGUAGAAUUCCCGGUGUAGCGGUGAAAUGCGUAGAGAUCGGGAGGAAUACCAGUGGCGAAGGCGGCUUUCUGGACUGACACUGACACUGAGGUGCGAAGGCGUGGGUAGCGAACGGGAUUAGAUACCCUAGUAGUC